CAAACAGAAGGACUCUGUCCUGUUCUUGAAGACAGUCACCCAUAACUGCUCAGAUACAGAAGAGAGGAAGGGUGGCGAUCUGAGCAUGGAAGACCCCAGGGAAAGGUGCAGUAGACCCUAGACUGUGAUGUUCUUUUAGAUCCUCUCCCAAAGACUGGAGGGGUCUCAGCUUACACUUCUUCAUUCUUAUUUUCUACAAAGGAGAAUAGAAAGGAAAGCAGAUUUAGGACAUUUUGUAUUUGCAAAUGUAAACUGCUCAUGCUGGCUGGCAUUCUCCUGGUGCUGCAUUCCUCAGUAUUUCCUUUCCCUGAUCCAUCCCCAAAACAUCAUGGCAUGAACCUAAGACCACCUCAGACAAUGCCACAAUGCUUUAAAAAGGAGAUCAGCGGACCACAGGGGAAUCUGCUUAAUUAAUAUGAGAAAAACUCAACUAAAGGAAGUGCCACAGAAGACAUUCAAAAAUUUUAAUGUCAGAAACAAUUGUCUGGAUUUUUUUUUUCUCAGUAGAAAUUUACAGAAGAGUGGAAGAGUCUUAAUAAUGGAGAUAAUGAUUCUACUAUCAGUGUUUUGUUGUCAUCUAGCUGGGGAUUUACACCCUUCCAGCAUCCUCUCCUGUUGGGACAUGCAGGGACAGCAUGUAUAGCCCUGCAGGAGCUGCAAGGACAAAUUCGAGCUUCUUGGCAGUAGAAACAUUCAAAAAUCUGGAUCUCAUAUUACGAGAAAACUCCAAGUCUCUGGCCUCAAAGCAGGAAAAGAAGGAAAAUAGGAGAGAGAUACCCGCAAAGGAGUAGGAGAACAGUGAUAUGGCUGUCACCCUUGUGGAGCAGUUGGGAUAGAAAAUCCUCCUGGACGGAAAGACCUCAAAACAAUGACUGCUUUCCAGCCUGGUCCAUGAGAGGAAUUUAUCAUUCAGUGGCAAUUUCUCAAAGCAUGAGUUCCAAAAACGUUUGAUCAUUUGCCUUUUUUGACAAACUAUUGCUUUAUUUCUGCAUCUCCUUUAAAAAUAAUGCAGGACGAAAAUCUUUUGGGAAAUGUAAUGAUAAGAGAGUUACCUAGCAGCAAUCAAACUAGAAUAAUAUUUACAAUGAAUAUCAAUCACAAUAUAAAAACAAAAGGUGCUCAGAGAUACCUGGCCAUCCUCUUUUGAUUUUGUUGCCUUAAAAGAAGACAAUAUAAUGUAUAUUGCUACUGCCAAUGACAGCCUAAAAAACUCUGAGGCUGUAAAUACUGAGAAAGAUAUAUAACUUCAAUGGUGGAAUGAGAUAGACAUGAUCACCAUACGUAAAUGUAUGAUUACGCAAUGGUGUGAAUCUACAUCGUGCACAACCGAAGAAACGAAAAGUUGUACCCCAUUUGUGUACGAUGAAUCAAAAUGCUGUCUGUAAAACGAAUAUAAAAUUAAAAAGUACUAUAAAUUGUAUUAACUGUUUUAGGGUAAGUUAGAGAAGGAAGAUCCUUUGGUUACCCUUAGUAACAGCAAAACAAAUGAGAAGGAAAGUUUCUUGCCGAAUGUUUCUAGUAAUUAUUCAUAGCUACCCUGCCUAUCAAAUAGACAACCUUUAAAGUAAGGAUUAUGCUGUAUGAAUUUUGAAACAAACCAAAUAUGAAAACAACUAGCUUAAGUGUUUCAGAUGUACUUAAAUCUCCUCAAAGCCCCUGAAAAUCAGAUGGGGUUGAGAGAAAAUGGCAAAGCACCAUGGUUUUUAUUGCUACUAUUAGGAAAGUUUCAAGAUCGUUUCACUAGGCAUCUUCUCUUGGUCUAAAGAACUUUGAGAAAUAGGGACAACUUGAAAAUGGGCCUGAUAGUCAAACACAUUUGUGGGUUGCAAACUAAGAGCAGGUAGAACAGAGAAAAGUUCGUGGAGGCAGGGUUCAAAAAACUAAUGAUGCAGGGAGACUAUAGAUCUGCACUAUCCUUGUCCUAUGUGGUGGCUGCUACCACAUGCGGCCACUUAAAUUAAGAUAAAAAUUACACAAAAUUUUAAAAAUUCAGUUCUUCCAUCUUACCAUAUUUCAAGUCUUCAGGUGCUGCAUUUGUUGAACAACCACUGUAUUAGACAAUGAAGAGACCAUUUCCACUAUUACAGAAAGUUAUUUUGGAUAGUACUACUGUAGACAAUGGUUCCCAAUCUUCACAUAACUGAACCAAUUUUUAACAUGAAAAAAUUGUACAGAUUCCCAUGAUGGGACUUCAGUAUCUACUGAUUGAAAAACACACAGUAUGACAAUAGCUACAGUAAAGGUAGCGAAACAAAAAUUCACUUAAAAGCAUUGCUGAGCACCAGAGCCUCUACAGACAUUUGAAAAAUAGUGGGGCACAUGUGUAUGAGACAGCUCAGCCUGCAGGCAGAGUGGGCUGCAGAUGGCUUCAAGGACAUUGUCCAUACCCUGAAUGCAAGUUGUGAGGUAAUGUUCUGCUUCUUCCUCUAAGCUCUCUCUGAUCUCUGGUAAACAUACCUUUUAUCCACUGCCUUACAUUAGUCCUCCAAGUCUUUUUCUCAGCUGAAUAAAGAGCAUGAACCUUG
Sciurus carolinensis (gray squirrel) is the source of this 2525-nucleotide long non-coding RNA. RefSeq lists it as uncharacterized. Lineage: Eukaryota; Metazoa; Chordata; Mammalia; Rodentia; Sciuridae. The record is from RefSeq and is a predicted model, not a curated record. The transcript is spliced from 2 exons.